Molecule: RNA transcript, 5254 nt
Organism: Xenopus tropicalis (tropical clawed frog)
Lineage: Eukaryota; Metazoa; Chordata; Amphibia; Anura; Pipidae
Gene name: vomeronasal type-2 receptor 26
Exons: 2
Source: RefSeq, a predicted model, not a curated record
CUUCUGAAGGGAAAAUUUAUUGCCUUUGUAGCUACAUGCUGGUGCGCUGCUGGGCUGUAUUCCAGGGACUUGGCUGCUAAGGUAAUGUGCCUGUAGCUAGCCUCCUUCCCAGACAAAAUUGUGUAUGGGGGAUUAUUCUUAUACUAGUUUUUUCUCUUGCAGAUGGAUAAGUCUGGCAAGAGAAAAAGGAAAUCGAGGCAUUUAAAGUGUUCUGGCUGUGAAGAGUUACUACCAGAUAACUGGGAUAGCAACAAAUGUUCUGCAUGUUCACAAUCUGUUCCUGGGUCUCAUGACAGUGAUACAAGCCAUUUUCUUAACUGGUUUAAAUCAUUUAUGUUAAAAGCUGUGGAUGAGUAUAAAGGUUCUCCAGUUCCCACUUUACAUCGUGCCUCCUUAAAUAAAGAUUCUGUCUCUGAUGAGGAAUCAUCUGGAGAGAUUGUCUCCAGUUCUGCUUCAACAUCUGAACCCCAUACAUCUCAAAAAGAGGAUUUUUUUCUCUUUCCUGUUGAAAAAAUGCCCCGGCUGUUAAAAGAAGUUUGUAAAGUUAUAUCACCAAGGGAUACUGUUCAAGCGGAUCCCAACACUCAGGAGUUCCCCUUUUUUGUUCAAAAAAAGGCAUUGAGUUUUCCGGUACAUCCUUCUGUCAAAAAUCUUAUUGAACAGGAAUGGAAGGAUCCGGGGAAGAAACCAGAAGCUUCUAAACGGUUUAAACUUAUGUUUCCCUUUGAGACAAAAGAUGUUGAAGAAUGGGAAAAUCCUCCCAAGGUGGAUGUUCCCGUGGCAAGAUUGUCUAAAAGAACAACAAUUCCUGUAGAGGAAGCGGCAAUAAAGGACCAGAUGGAUCGUAGGGCAGAGUGUGCCUUGCGCAGGUCUUAUAUUUCAGGGGCUUCAAUCUGUAAACCCUCUUUAGCUGCUGUCUCAGUAUCCAGAUCUCUAAAACAUUGGCUUAAUGCGCUAGAAGAGGAUAUAGAUUCUGGGACCUCAAGAGAUGUCCUUCUGGAUAUGCUUUAUCCAAUAAAGCUGGCAACAGAUUUCUUGUGUGAUGUUGCAGUGGAUACUUUAAAACUGGGGGCCAGGACUAUGGCCUUGUCUACAGCAGGCAGGAGAGCCUUAUGGCUUAAAGCUUGGGCGGCAGAUUCAGCUAGUAAAAAUACUCUGAUUUCCAUGCCUUUCAAACCUGGGAAACUUUUUGGCUCAGCCUUGGAUAAACUAAUAGAAAAUCUGUCUACUGGAAAGGAUAAAGUGUUGCCGCAAAAUAAACAAAAGUCGCAGUAUAGGUCGUCCUUUCGUCCAUCCUUUAAAAGAUCUUCGCCUAAGUCCAAUGUUUCCAGAAGAAAUAACUUCAGAGAUGGAAACAGAUACACUUACAGAAAUUUCAGAUCAAGACCCUUUAGAUCUCAGACAUCCAAAGAUCCAACUCAAAGAAAGGAUUCUUCCUCAAAGAAGCCAGAAUUCUGACGCCAGAAGUCAGGGAGAAGUGGGAGCAAGGUUAACCCAAUUUCUCCCAGUGUGGGAAAAAACAACUUCAGACUCUUGGGUUUUAAGCAUCAUAAGAUCAGGCUACUUCAUCAAUUUUCAAAGGAAGCCAAUUCCCAAAGGCAGACAAUCUAAAGCAGCAGGCUUUAGAGAAAGCAGUCAUGGAUUUCCUAAAAAUGGGAGUUCUGGAACCCGUUCCCCGGUUGGAAGAAGGGUUAGGUAUUUAUUCCCGAAUAUUUCUGGUUCCCAAACCAGACGGAAGGUUCAGGCUUAUUAUAGACCUAAAGUACCUAAACCAGUUCAUUCUAAAGGAAAAGUUCAGAAUGGAGACCAUCAGGUCAGCACUGAGUAUUCUUCAGAAGGGAGAUCUGAUGAUUACCUUGGAUUUGAAGGAUGCUUAUCUUCAUGUUCCUAUUCAUCUGACCAGCAGGAAGUUUCUUCGCAUAGCGAUUUUUCUGAAGGGGAAAGUUCUUCAUCUCCAAUUCAGGGCUCUUCCAUUUGGGAUUACUUCCGCUCCAAGGGUUUUCACAAAACUAAUUGUUGUGCUAGCAGCUCAUUUGAGAAAGCAGGGAGUUUUUGUGAUUCCUUAUCUGGACGACUGGCUGAUCAAAGCUUCAUCAGUAGCUCAGUUGAUCAAUCAUAUGAAUCUGACCAUGGAAGUAUUGACAAAUCACGGCUGGAUAAUAAACAAAGAAAAGUCAAAUCUUCGUCCGUCAACUUCAACCAUUUUUCUAGGUCUCCAGCUAGACACAUGCCAAAUGAAAGUUUUUCUUCCAGGCGAGAAAGUUCUAUCUCUCAGAACGGCAAUAAAAUCAUUAAUUCAAUCACGAUCUGUGACUAUUCGUCAAGCCAUGAGAGUGCUGGGGCUGAUGACAUCAUCUCUGGAAGCUGUCCCCUGGGCCAGAGCUCAUAUGAGAUCUCUUCAGGAAGUAAUCCUAAAGAAUUGGGACAAGAAUAUUCUAUCACUAGACAGGUUCUUUCAUGUGAAUCUUCAGUUAAAGAAAGAUCUGAGAUGGUGGUUGAGCGGUCACAAUCUAACUCAAGGGAAAUCUUUUCAGACUCCAGAGUUUCUUCGGUUGACGACGGAUGCAUCCGCAUCAGGUUGGGGUGCUCACCUUGGAGGUCAGGUGGUCCAAGGAAAGUGGUCAUAUUGGGAAAAAAGUCAAUCUUCCAAUUUCAGAGAAUUGAGGACAGUCCGUCUAACUCUUCAGAAAUUCAGAGACAAGAUCAAGGGUUGUCAAGUCCUCAUUCAGUCGGACAAUUCUACAACAGUAUCCUACAUAAACCGUCAAGGAGGAACAAGAGCCCCUCUGUUGAUGAAGGAAUGCAGGAAACUGAUGUUUUGGGCCGAAAAUCAUCUGAAGAUGAUCAGAGCUGUUCAUAUAAAAGGAGAAGAGAAUGUGCUGGCAGACAGACUCAGCAGGAAAACUCUAAAUCAGAGCGAGUGGGAACUCAAUUCUCAGGUUUUUCUCAAGAUAGCUCAGAUGUGGGGCUAUCCAUCAAUAGAUCUGAUGGCCUCCAGAUCCAACAGGAAGGUUCCUCAGUUUUGCUCCUUGGUGAAAUCAGACAAUCCCAAUUACCUGGAUACAAUGAACAUUCCUUGGAAAUUCCAUCUUUGUUACAUUUUUCCUCCUCUUCCGAUGAUCCCAAGGGUGAUUCAGAAAAUCAGACAGGACAAAGCAGCAGCAAUCCUAAUUGCCCCAUUCUGGCCGAGAAGAGCUUGGUUUACGGAUCUAAUUCGCCUGAGCAAGGGGUGUUUUUGGAAGUUACCAAUGAGACCAGAUCUUCUCCUUCAAGGUCAGAUGUUCCACCCAAAUCCAGACAGAUUAUGUCUGACAGCUUGGAGAUUGAUAGGGACAUUCUAACUGUCCAAGGUCUUUCAGAGGAAGUAGUUGAUACACUUCUGAACUCCAGAAAAUCUUCAACUUCUAGAAUUUAUAGAAGAAUUUGGAAAGUUUUUCAAAACUGGGCUCUGGAGAAGGAAAUUGUUCCUAAAGAAUGUUCAAUUCCCAAUGUUCUUCAGUUUCUACAGGAUGGCUUUUCUAAAGGACUUAAGCCAAAUACACUAAAGGUUCAUGUGUCAGCCCUAUCAGCUAUGCUUUCAGUCAAUCUUGCCAAUAAUCAGUUGGUUAAAAGAUUUUUCAAGGCUGUUUCAAGACUAAGGCCAAGAAUCAAGGAAGUUUUAGCCCCGUGGGAUUUAAAUAUUGUAUUAUCUGCGUUAGGCGAAAAACCCUUUGAACCUUUACAAGACAUCAACAUAAAACAUCUAACCUGGAAAACUACCUUUUUGAUUGCAAUUUCCUCAGCAAGAAGAGUGGGUGAGCUGCAGGCCUUGGCAGUAGGGCCUCCAUAUACUCAAAUUUUUCCAGAUAAAGUUAUCCUAAAAACCUUGCCCUUUUUCAGGCCAAAAAUCGCUUCAUCUAACAACCUUAACUCACAGAUUGUGCUACCUUCCUUUUCAUCGGAUUCUCAAAAAAAGUUGCAAUCCUUAGAUGUGCGCAGGUGUUUGUUGCUGUAUAUCGAGAGAUCAAAAGAAUUUAGAAAGUCAGAACAUCUAUUUGUCCUUUUUGCGGGAAAAAGAAAAGGUUGUAAAGCUUCUAAACCGACUAUAGCAUCCUGGGUAAGGAAUGCUAUUUCCUGCUCUUAUGAUUCUGUUGGGAAAGAUCCUCCUUCUCAAUUAAAGGCUCAUUCAACAAGAUCAAUCUCUACUUCCUGGGCGGAAAGAUCGGCCAUGGAUGUGCAAGAAAUUUGUAAAGCAGCCACCUGGUCCAACGUCCACACGUUUGCCAGACACAACAGACUUGACUUAGCAGCCAAGCAGGAUGCAGCCUUUGGCAGUUCGGUGUUGGAGUCGGCUUCUAUGAGGCAAAAUUCCCCCCCCCCCAUUGUUAGCUUGCUAUAUCCUUCAUUUGGUGCUGCCUGUAGGACGUAAAGAAAAGAGAAAAUUUGUUCCUACCUGAAAUUUUCAUUUUCUUGAGUCCGAAAGGCAGCACAUAAUCCCUACCCUAAUAAAUUCAUUUGCAUGAGAUGGUGUGGUCUUUUCUUGAGCUUUUUAAAAACACUGGAGAAUAAGGGGGAGUUAAGAGGUAUUUAUAAUGUAUUUAAUUGGUUAUUCUAUUUCUCCUGUCCUACCAGAGUGGAUCAGACAAUUAACCCUUCAUUUGGUGCUGCCUUUCGGACUCAAGAAAAUGAAAAUUUCAGAUCAGCUACGGAGCCACGGAUGUCACUUUCACUGACAGAAGGAGGUUCCCAUACAUCUACCGAACGGUCCCUAAUGAAGGAUAUUUCUAUCAAGCUCUCAUUCAGCUGCUGAAGCACUUUGGUUGGACCUGGGUGGGAAUGUUGAUAGCAGAUAAUGAAGCAGAAUAUAUAAAGAGACAACUAAUAGAGCUGAUUACAAGCAAUGGGAUGUGUGUGGAAUUUGCUUAUGGAUUCUUAUGGGAUGGCAGGUUCGAUGACAGAAUAGUUCAUAGGAUUUUAAGAACAACUUCCAGAGUUGUCAUAAUCAGUGAUUCCACCAAUUUAUUUUGGCCAAUAUUGAGACAGGUUAAGAUUGCGUCUAGCUUUAAAAGAACUUGGAUUUUCUCAGUCUCAUCUUCAUUUACGGAUUAUAUUCUCGAAUAUGAGAUUGCGGAAUUCUUUGCUGGAAGUUUGGCUUUUCCAGUAGCUGCUAGAGAAAUGGAUGGAUUUCAGGAUUUUUUAUUCUCUGCAAACCCUGAUCGGUAUCCAGAAGAUAUAUUCAUUGAAGCCGCAUGGCUGGAGUUUGUAAGUGACCUAU